GGGGAUGAAAUGGCUUCGACGGGGUGAUGGAGUUUGAAUGCUGCAUGUCGUGCUCAAUCGGUGGUGCACGUAAAUACAACCGGUAUGCAUUAUAAAUGCCAACAAUGAUUACGCAAUGGCUGCCUAAUUAGAUUACGCAGCCACAUCUUUCGGAAAGUUUGCCCGUCGGCAUUUUCGAAAGGUGUCGCAAAGAGACGGGCUGGUCCCGAUUUGCUUCACAGGAAGAAGGACGAGAAACAAACUGUGAAUCGGUUUAUGCCACCUGUCGUUUGGUCAAGCAUAAACUUAAAUUAAUAAAACGACUAAACAUGUAGAAGCUUCGAGCGAAGCUCUCCGGACGCGGGUUCGACUCCCGCCAUCUCCACAA
RNAcentral lists this transfer-messenger RNA (367 nucleotides) under Bacteroidota (CFB group bacteria). RNAcentral describes it as "f UBA2268 X1 Standard tmRNA". It matches the Rfam family "transfer-messenger RNA". Rfam says of the family: Bacterial tmRNA, also known as 10Sa RNA or SsrA, is named for its dual tRNA and mRNA-like properties. Its role is to liberate the mRNA from a stalled ribosome. Lineage: Bacteria; Pseudomonadati. The record is from RNAcentral. RNAcentral also lists the same sequence under 1 other name.